Molecule: ribosomal RNA, 497 nt
Filed under: uncultured bacterium
Lineage: Bacteria
Description: partial 16S ribosomal RNA
Rfam family: Bacterial small subunit ribosomal RNA
Source: RNAcentral
GACGAACGCUGGCGGCGUGCUUAAUACAUGCAAGUCGAGCGAACGGACGAGAAGCUUGCUUCUCUGACGUUAGCGGCGGACGGGUGAGUAACACGUGGAUAACCUCCCUAUAUGACUGGGAUAACUUCGGGAAACCGGAGCUAAUACCGUAUGAUAUUCUGAACCGCAUGGUUCAAUAGUGAAAUACGGUCUUGCUGUCUCUUAUCGAUGGUUCCGCGCUGCUUUAGCUAGUUGGUAGGGUAACGGCUUACCAAGGCAACGAUGCAUAGCCGACGUGAGAGGGUGAUCGGCCGCACUGGAGCGGAGACGCGGUCCAGAGGCCUACGAGAGGCAGCAGAAGGGAAUCGGACGCAGUAGGCGAAAGCCUGGCGGAGCGGCGCCACGUGAGAGAUGAAAAUCUUCGGUUCGUGAUGGUGGGUUAUGAGGGAAGAACAUAUGUGGAAGUAACUGUGCACAGCGUGACGGUACCGAGUCAGAAAGCAACGGCUAACUACGUG